GAUCAACGCUGGCGGCGUGCAUGAGACAUGCAAGUCGAACGGACACUCACGGGCUUGCCUGUGAGUGUUAGUGGCGGACGGCUGAGUAACGCGUAGGUGACCUGCCCCGAAGUGGGGAAUAACUGCCCGAAAGGGUGGCUAAUACCGCAUGUGGUGAUGCGUUCAGACGCAUCAGUAAAGCCGCAAGGCGCUUCGGGAGGGGCCUGCGUCCGAUAGCUCGUUGGUGAGGUAACGGCUCACCAAGGCGACGAUCGGUAGGUGGUCUGAGAGGACGAUCACCCAGACCGGGACUGAGACACGGCCCAGACUCCUACGGGAGGCAGCAGUCGGGAAUUUUGCGCAAUGGACGAAAGUCUGACGCAGCAACGCCGCGUGAGGGAUGACGGCCU
This 389-nucleotide ribosomal RNA is filed under the name uncultured bacterium. RNAcentral describes it as "bacterial SSU rRNA". It matches the Rfam family "Bacterial small subunit ribosomal RNA", at positions 28 to 417 of the family's 1533-position model. The record is from RNAcentral.